UCAUGCUGUUACUUUGACUGGUCCGCCUGUGUGUUCCCACAGCGCCGUUUCCUCCCUUUGUCAUCAUUCUGCUGGUUCUGCUCAGUGUGUGUCUGACUAUUGCUACCGUCCUGGUGUAUAAGAACAGACGCUACUUCAAGCAAGCCCGGGCGGCCCAGGAGCAAGAAGAGCAGAAGGAGGAGGAGGAGGAAGAGGAAAAUGAUUAUGGUGAUGACAUAAAGUUGAACUCAGAGGAUUAACAUCAUCAACGUCUCUGGACUCACUAAACAAACAUCAUUUCAGAGGAACUUUAUGUUUUUAAACUAAAAUAAAACUAAUUCCACUGGUUUUAUUUAAAUCUCAGGUUUGGUGGAAAAUUAAACUUAUUGAGUAAGUUUAAAACAUCCAGUUUAAACAUUAAUAUGCACUGAUUUUACUGGAUUUAUGUAAAUAAUCUGUAGUUAAGCUCCAUCUAACAAACUGAUUCAUUUCACUGACUUAGAUUUUUGUUUUAAUUCAGAAAAAGGAAAUACCAGAUCAGCAAUUAAUCAAUUGAUCAUAUGAUGAAUUAAAAUGAUCUGGAUAAUAAUUUUUAAGUGCAGUUUUGUUCAGACUUUAUAAUUUUAAUCAGCCUUUCUGUGAUUUUGUUUAAUUAUGAGAAUAUCAGAAUAAAGACAUAAUUUUAUCAA
Poecilia latipinna (sailfin molly) is the source of this 668-nucleotide long non-coding RNA. RefSeq lists it as uncharacterized. The record is from RefSeq and is a predicted model, not a curated record. The transcript has 2 exons. NCBI's taxonomy places the organism in Eukaryota, Metazoa, Chordata, Actinopteri, Cyprinodontiformes, Poeciliidae.